Molecule: transfer RNA, 76 nt
Filed under: Caudoviricetes sp.
Lineage: Duplodnaviria; Heunggongvirae; Uroviricota; Caudoviricetes
Description: tRNA-Asn
Rfam family: tRNA
About the family: Transfer RNA (tRNA) molecules are approximately 80 nucleotides in length. Their secondary structure includes four short double-helical elements and three loops (D, anti-codon, and T loops).
Source: RNAcentral
GGGUGGAUAGCUCAACUGGGAGAGCGCCUGACUGUUAAUCAGGAUGUUGCAGGUUCGAAUCCUGCUCCGCCCGCCA